UACAGAGGUCCCAAGCGUUGUUCGGAUUCACUGGGCGUAGAGGGUGCGUAGGUGGUGAGGUAAGUCGGAUGUGAAAGCUCCGAGCUCAACUCGGAAAUGGCAUUGGAAACUACCUUGCUAGAGGGUUUGAGGGGGGACUGGAAUACUUGGUGUAGCAGUGAAAUGCGUAGAUAUCAAGUAGAACACCAGUGGCGAAGGCGAGUCCCUGGAAAACUCCUGACACUGAGGCACGAAAGCUAGGGGAGCAAACAGG
This 253-nucleotide ribosomal RNA is filed under the name uncultured bacterium. Its description in RNAcentral is "partial 16S ribosomal RNA". It matches the Rfam family "Bacterial small subunit ribosomal RNA", at positions 524 to 776 of the family's 1533-position model. The record is from RNAcentral.